Molecule: ribosomal RNA, 253 nt
Filed under: uncultured microorganism
Description: partial 16S ribosomal RNA
Rfam family: Bacterial small subunit ribosomal RNA
Source: RNAcentral
UACGUAGGGUGCGAGCGUUAAUCGGAUUUACUGGGCGUAAAGCGUGCGCAGGCGGCCCGUUAAGACAGAUGUGAAAUCCCUGGGCUCAACCUAGGAAUUGCACUUGUGACUGUCGGGCUCGAGUACGGUAGAGGGGGGUGGAAUUCCUGGUGUAGCAGUGAAAUGCGUAGAGAUCAGGAGGAACACCGAUGGCGAAGGCAGCCCCCUGGGCCUGUACUGACGCUCAUGCACGAAAGCGUGGGGAGCAAACAGG